AAUAGAUACCCCGGUAGUCCACGCCGUAAACGAUGAAUGCUAGGUGUUAGGGGUUUCGAUACCCUUGGUGCCGAAGUCAACACAUUAAGCAUUCCGCCUGGGGAGUACGGUCGCAAGACUGAAACUCAAAGGAAUUGACGGGGACCCGCACAAGCAGUGGAGUAUGUGGUUUAAUUCGAAGCAACGCGAAGAACCUUACCAGGUCUUGACAUCCUCUUGAACACGUUUAGAGAUAGCGUGGGCCUUCGGGACAAGAGAGACAGGUGGUGCAUGGUUGUCGUCAGCUCGUGUCGUGAGAUGUUGGGUUAAGUCCCGCAACGAGCGCAACCCUUGAUCUUAGUUGCCAGCAGGUUGUGCUGGGCACUCUAAGGUGACUGCCGGUGACAAACCGGAGGAAGGUGGGGAUGACGUCAAAUCAUCAUGCCCCUUAUGACCUGGGCUACACACGUACUACAAUGGCCGGUACAACGGGAAGCGAAGGAGCGAUCUGGAGCGAAUCUUAUAAAAGCCGGUCUCAGUUCGGAUUGCAGGCUG
This 534-nucleotide ribosomal RNA is filed under the name uncultured bacterium. RNAcentral describes it as "bacterial SSU rRNA". It matches the Rfam family "Bacterial small subunit ribosomal RNA", at positions 777 to 1307 of the family's 1533-position model. The record is from RNAcentral.